GACGAACGCUGGCGGCGUGCUUAACACAUGCAAGUCGAACGGAAAGGCCCUGCUUUUGUGGGGUGCUCGAGUGGCGAACGGGUGAGUAACACGCGAGUAACCUGCCCUUGACUUUGGGAUAACUUCAGGAAACUGGGGCUAAUACCGGAUAGGAGCUCCUGCUGCAUGGUGGGGGUUGGAAAGUUUCGGCGGUUGGGGAUGGACUCGCGGCUUAUCAGCUUGUUGGUGGGGUAGUGGCUUACCAAGGCUUUGACGGGUAGCCGGCCUGAGAGGGUGACCGGCCACAAUGGGACUGAGGUACGGCCCAGACUCCUACGGGAGGCAGCAGUGGGGAAUAUUGCACAAUGGGCGGAAGCCUGAUGCAGCAACGCCGCGUGCGGGAUGACGGCCUUCGGGUUGUAAACCGCUUUCGCCUGUGACGAAGCGUGAGUGACGGUAAUGGGUAAAGAAGCACCGGCUAACUACGUG
This 468-nucleotide ribosomal RNA is filed under the name uncultured bacterium. RNAcentral's name for it is "partial 16S ribosomal RNA". It matches the Rfam family "Bacterial small subunit ribosomal RNA", at positions 28 to 507 of the family's 1533-position model. The record is from RNAcentral.